CAGUAGCGCGGUAAUACGAAGGGUGCAAGCGUUAAUCGGAAUUACUGGGCGUAAAGCGCGCGUAGGUGGUUCAUUAAGUUGGAUGUGAAAGCCCUGGGCUCAACCUGGGAAUUGCAGUGGAUACUGGGUCACUAGAGUGUGGUAGAGGAUAGUGGAAUUUCCGGUGUAGCAGUGAAAUGCGUAGAGAUCGGAAGGAACAUCUGUGGCGAAGGCGACUAUCUGGGCCAACACUGACACUGAGGCACGAAAGCGUGGGGAGCAAACAGGAUUAGAUACCCCCGUAGUCCCUGUCUCUUAUACC
This 301-nucleotide ribosomal RNA is filed under the name uncultured bacterium. RNAcentral's name for it is "partial 16S ribosomal RNA". It matches the Rfam family "Bacterial small subunit ribosomal RNA", at positions 509 to 808 of the family's 1533-position model. The record is from RNAcentral.